RNAcentral lists this unclassified non-coding RNA (255 nucleotides) under Hevea brasiliensis (rubber tree). The record is from RNAcentral. Lineage: Eukaryota; Viridiplantae; Streptophyta; Magnoliopsida; Malpighiales; Euphorbiaceae.
GCAACCCGGCGAGAAGCACGCGCCCCAUCGACGUGCAGAACGCCGGAAUGCGGCUUCCGGUGAUCAGUCCUCGGCGCAGCACGCUCGUGACUUCGGCACGUGCGAUAUAGAGAACGUCUGCGCCGUCCAGCACCGAGAUGGCGACGACCUCGUCAACCUUGCGGGAGAGGGUCUCGAUCACCGGCUGCGCCACCUCGCGCAGCGACAGCGACGACAGAUAUGCAAAACCCAACUGGAGAAUGCGCGGCGUCAGCA